CCAAAAGCUCUUUUAAGAGUUACCCACAUUGCACUAAGAGUACUCU
This is a non-coding RNA of Salmo salar (Atlantic salmon), 46 nucleotides long. The record is from Rfam. NCBI's taxonomy places the organism in Eukaryota, Metazoa, Chordata, Actinopteri, Salmoniformes, Salmonidae.